RNAcentral lists this ribosomal RNA (476 nucleotides) under uncultured Desulfobulbus sp. Its description in RNAcentral is "bacterial SSU rRNA". It matches the Rfam family "Bacterial small subunit ribosomal RNA", at positions 916 to 1381 of the family's 1533-position model. The record is from RNAcentral. Lineage: Bacteria; Pseudomonadati; Thermodesulfobacteriota; Desulfobulbia; Desulfobulbales; Desulfobulbaceae.
GACGGGGCCCGCGACAAGCGGUGGAGUAUGUGGUUUAAUUCGAUGCAACGCGAAGAACCUUACCUGGUCUUGACAUCCCGGAGACCCUUAGGAAACUAGGGGGUGCUUCCAUCUGGAAGAAUCUGGAGAUAGGUGCUGCAUGGCUGUCGUCAGCUCGUGUCGUGAGAUGUUGGGUUAAGUCCCGCAACGAGCGCAACCCUUGCCUUUAGUUGCCAGCAGUUCGGCUGGGCACUCUAAAGGGACUGCCGGUGUUAAACCGGAGGAAGGUGGGGAUGACGUCAAGUCCUCAUGGCCUUUAUGACCAGGGCUACACACGUACUACAAUGGCCGAUACGAAGGGCAGCGACACUGCGAGGUGAAGCCAAUCCCGUAAAAUCGGUCUCAGUCCGGAUUGGAGUCUGCAACUCGACUCCAUGAAGUUGGAAUCGCUAGUAAUCGUGGAUCAGCAUGCCACGGUGAAUACGUUCCCGGGCCUU